This is a long non-coding RNA of Coregonus clupeaformis (lake whitefish), 379 nucleotides long. RefSeq lists it as uncharacterized. The transcript has 2 exons. The record is from RefSeq and is a predicted model, not a curated record. Lineage: Eukaryota; Metazoa; Chordata; Actinopteri; Salmoniformes; Salmonidae.
UGAAGGCAACAUGACAAUUAUCGGAAGGGUGUCGUGUUGAGGAGGAAAGGAUAUUAAUUCACACUACUUGGUCUUCUUACUGCCUAUCUAAUCAAUGACAAUAUCACUGUACAUUUUGGGAUAGACAUUUCUAGCAUGAGAUAAUAAACAAAUACUUGUGAGGAUCGUGAGAGUCAGAAAAAAACAGGAAAAAGUCUCCCUCAAACUGGAUACUGCAGAUCCCGGUAUGGCUAGCAUUUGACUCCAACCCUGUUGAUUGUGUUUUGCAAGGAGGAAGCAGAAGAAGACAUUCACAAGCAGAUCUGUCCGGCAUUCCAGAAGCCUGUCAUCAGACAGCGACACACAGAAAGACUAUCAGGCUUCAGAAUACCACAACACA